This is a small nuclear RNA of Nycticebus coucang (slow loris), 106 nucleotides long. The record is from RefSeq and is a predicted model, not a curated record. NCBI's taxonomy places the organism in Eukaryota, Metazoa, Chordata, Mammalia, Primates, Lorisidae.
GUGUUUGCUUAGGCAGCACGUAUUCUAAAAUUGGAACAAUACAGAGAAGAUUAGCAUGGCCCUGAGCAAAGACAACACGCAAGUUCAUGAAGCAUUCCACUACAGA